This 511-nucleotide ribosomal RNA is filed under the name Bacillus amyloliquefaciens. RNAcentral describes it as "bacterial SSU rRNA". It matches the Rfam family "Bacterial small subunit ribosomal RNA", at positions 370 to 870 of the family's 1533-position model. The record is from RNAcentral. Lineage: Bacteria; Bacillati; Bacillota; Bacilli; Caryophanales; Bacillaceae.
CUCGGAAGGUGAAGUCUGACGGAGCACGCCGCGUGAGUGAUGAAGGUUUUCGGAUCGUAAAGCUCUGUUGUUAGGGAAGAACAAGUGCCGUUCAAAUAGGGCGGCACCUUGACGGUACCUAACCAGAAAGCCACGGCUAACUACGUGCCAGCAGCCGCGGUAAUACGUAGGUGGCAAGCGUUGUCCGGAAUUAUUGGGCGUAAAGGGCUCGCAGGCGGUUUCUUAAGUCUGAUGUGAAAGCCCCCGGCUCAACCGGGGAGGGUCAUUGGAAACUGGGGAACUUGAGUGCAGAAGAGGAGAGUGGAAUUCCACGUGUAGCGGUGAAAUGCGUAGAGAUGUGGAGGAACACCAGUGGCGAAGGCGACUCUCUGGUCUGUAACUGACGCUGAGGAGCGAAAGCGUGGGGAGCGAACAGGAUUAGAUACCCUGGUAGUCCACGCCGUAAACGAUGAGUGCUAAGUGUUAGGGGGUUUCCGCCCCUUAGUGCUGCAGCUAACGCAUUAAGCACUCC